Molecule: ribosomal RNA, 417 nt
Filed under: uncultured bacterium
Lineage: Bacteria
Description: bacterial SSU rRNA
Rfam family: Bacterial small subunit ribosomal RNA
Source: RNAcentral
UGGGGAAUAUUGGGCAAUGGGCGAAAGCCUUACCCAGCAACGCCGCGUGAGGGAAGAAGGUUUUCGGAUUGUAAACCUCUGUCCUGGGGGACGAAGGAAGUAACGGUACCCCGGGAGGAAGCCCCGGCUAACUACGUGCCAGCAGCCGCGGUAAUACGUAGGGGGCGAGCGUUGUCCGGAAUUAUUGGGCGUAAAGGGCGCGUAGACGGCCGAGUAAGUUAUAGGUGAAAGCCCAUCUUUCAAGGAUGGAAUUGCCUGUAAUACUGCUUGGCUUGAGUGCAGGAGAGGGAAGCGGAAUUCCUAGUGUAGCGGUGAAAUGCGUAGAUAUUAGGAGGAACACCAGUGGCGAAGGCGGCUUUCUGGACUGUAACUGACGUUGAGGCGCGAAAGCGUGGGGAGCAAACAGGAUUAGAUACC